This 29-nucleotide small RNA is filed under the name Bombyx mori (domestic silkworm). Its description in RNAcentral is "piRNA piR-bmo-1694750". Lineage: Eukaryota; Metazoa; Arthropoda; Insecta; Lepidoptera; Bombycidae. The record is from RNAcentral.
UCCAACCUUUUCCAUUCAUUGUCUUUAGA